UACCGCAAGACAGAGGACUUCUUCACCAUCUGGCUGGAUCUCAACAUGUUCCUACCCCUUGGGGUAGACUGCUGGAUCGAUAACACCAGGUACAGCCAUGUGCUCCACCCUAGCCCCAACACGCUGCCCCUUGGCUACUGGCUGCUGAGUGGCACCCCCGCCCCGCAGGGUUGUCUACAACCGGAGCUCUGGGCUCGUGUCCAACGCCCCUGGUGUCCAGAUCCGCGUCCCUGGCUUUGGCAAGACCUACUCUGUGGAGUACCUGGACAGCAGCAAGCUGGCAGGGUACCUGCACACACUGGUGCAGAACCUGGUCAACAACGGCUACGUGCGGGACGAGACUGUGCGCGCCGCCCCCUAUGACUGGCGGCUGGAGCCCGGUGAGUGUCUCUGCGGAUGACCGGCUUGGGGUGGGGCAGGUGCCCCAGACCCCAGCUGCCCUGACCCCUUCCACCCGCUGCAGGCCAGCAGGAGGAGUACUACCGCAAGCUCGCAGGGCUGGUGGAGGAGAUGCACGCUGCCUAUGGGAAGCCUGUCUUCCUCAUUGGCCACAGCCUCGGCUGUCUACACUUGCUCUAUUUCCUGCUGCGCCAGCCCCAGGCCUGGAAGGACCGCUUUAUUGAUGGCUUCAUCUCUCUUGGGGCUCCCUGGG
RNAcentral lists this small RNA (652 nucleotides) under Pan troglodytes (chimpanzee). RNAcentral's name for it is "retained intron". The record is from RNAcentral. Lineage: Eukaryota; Metazoa; Chordata; Mammalia; Primates; Hominidae.